RNAcentral lists this ribosomal RNA (406 nucleotides) under uncultured bacterium. RNAcentral describes it as "partial 16S ribosomal RNA". It matches the Rfam family "Bacterial small subunit ribosomal RNA", at positions 30 to 526 of the family's 1533-position model. The record is from RNAcentral.
AUUGAACGCUGGCGGCAGGCCUAACACAUGCAAGUCGGGCGAGUGGCGGACGGGUGAGUAAUGUAUGGGGAUCUAGCUGAUGGAGGGGGAUAACUACUGGAAACGGUAGCUAAUACCGCAUACCAUCGGAUGAGCCCAAGUGGGAUUAGCUAGUUGGUGAGGUAACGGCUUACAUAGGCGACGAUCACUAGCUGGUCUGUGAGGAUGACAAGCCAAACUGGAACUGAGACACGGCCCAGACUCCUACGGGAGGCAGCAGUGGGGAAUAUUGCACAAUGGGCGCAACCCUGACGCAGCCAUGCCGCGUGAAUGAAGAAGGCCUUCGGGUUGUAAAGUUCUUUCAGUAGCGAGGCGUUACCUACAGAAGAAUCACCGGCUAACUCCGUGCCAGCAGCCGCGGUAAUAC